AGAGUUUGAUCAUGGCUCAGAACGUACGCUGGCGGCACGCCUAACACAUGCAAGUCGAACGAAGUAGCAAUACUUAGUGGCAGACGGGUGAGUAACAUGUGGGUAUCUGCCCUUUGGCCUGGAAUAACACGAGGAAACUUGUGCUAAUACCGGAUAAGUCUUUAAGGAGAAAGCUUUAUGCACCAUUGGAUGAGCCUGCACUUGAUUAGUUUGUUGGUGGGGUAAUGGCCUACCAAGACUGUGAUCAAUAGCUGAUUUGAGAGGAUGAUCAGCCACAUUGGGACUGAGACACGGCCCAAACUCCUACGGGAGGCAGCAGUGGGGAAUCUUGCACAAUGGAGGAAACUCUGAUGCAGCGAUGCCGCGUGAGUGAAGAAGGCCCUUGGGUUGUAAAGCUCUUUCGUCGGGGAAGAAAAUGACUGUACCCGAAUAAGAAGGUCCGGCUAACUUCGUGCCAGCAGCCGCGGUAAUACGAAGGGACCUAGCGUAGUUCGGAAUUACUGGGCUUAAAGAGUUCGUAGGUGGUUGAAAAAGUUAGUGGUGAAAUCCCAGAGCUUAACUCUGGAACUGCCAUUAAAACUUUUCAGCUAGAGUAUGAUAGAGGAAAGCAGAAUUUCUAGUGUAGAGGUGAAAUUCGUAGAUAUUAGAAAGAAUACCAAUUGCGAAGGCAGCUUUCUGGAUCAUUACUGACACUGAGGAACGAAAGCAUGGGUAGCGAAGAGGAUUAGAUACCCUCGUAGUCCAUGCCGUAAACGAUGUGUGUUAGACGUUGGAAAUUUAUUUUCAGUGUCGCAGGGAAACCGAUAAACACACCGCCUGGGGAGUACGACCGCAAGGUUAAAACUCAAAUGAAUUGACGGGGACCCGCACAAGUAGUGGAGCAUGUGGUUUAAUUCGAAGAUACGCGCAGAACCUUACCAACACUUGACAUGUUCGUCGCGACUCUAAGAGAUUAGAGUUUUCGGUUCGGCCGGACGAAACACAGGUGCUGCAUGGCUGUCGUCAGCUCGUGUCGUGAGAUGUUGGGUUAAGUCCCGCAACGAGCGCAACCCUCACUUUUAGUUGCCAUCAUUAAGUUGGGCACUCUGAAAGAACUGCCAGUGAUAAGCUGGAGGAAGGUGGGGAUGACGUCAAGUCCUCAUGGCCCUUACGUGUUGGGCUACACACGUGCUACAAUGGUAUCUACAACAGGAAGCAAGACUGCGAAGUUGAGCAAAUCCCUAAAAGAUACCUCAGUUCGGAUUGCACUCUGCAACUCGAGUGCAUGAAGCUGGAAUUACUAGUAAUCGUGGAUCAGCGUGCCACGGUGAAUGCGUUCCCGGGUCUUGUACACACCGCCCGUCACACCAUGGGAGUUGGUUCUACCUUAAGGCAAGGUUUCAAACCCUUGACCACGGUAUAGUCAGCGACUGGGGUGAAGUCGUAACAAGGUAACCGUA
Molecule: ribosomal RNA, 1439 nt
Filed under: uncultured bacterium
Lineage: Bacteria
Description: bacterial SSU rRNA
Rfam family: Bacterial small subunit ribosomal RNA
Source: RNAcentral